Erigeron canadensis is the source of this 372-nucleotide long non-coding RNA. RefSeq lists it as uncharacterized. The transcript has 2 exons. Lineage: Eukaryota; Viridiplantae; Streptophyta; Magnoliopsida; Asterales; Asteraceae. The record is from RefSeq and is a predicted model, not a curated record.
UCUAGCUCUAAUGUCUUGAACAUCAAAUGUAAGUUCUGUCGUACUCAAGGGCAUGUUCAGAAAGAUUGCCCUAAGUUCAAGGAAUGGCUAGCUAAGAAAGGGAUUCCAUACAAUCCAGAAGCUACCAAAGGGCCAAAGAAAACUUAGAGUUGGAAGUGGUGAUCUUUUAGAUGUCGAAGCCAUGGGAACUUAUAUUUUACAUAUGAGCACUGGAAAAUGUAUUAGACUAGUAGAUACCUUAUAUGUACCGAGAAUUACUCGGAACCUCGUAUCUAUUUCUAGACUAGACAUUGAAGGUUUUGUAAUAAUUCAUGGUUUCGGCAAGAUUACUAUUACUCUUAAUAAUGAAUUGCUUGGUCGUGGUUUCUUGGA